CCUCGAUCAGUAGAUGGCGACAC
This 23-nucleotide ribosomal RNA is filed under the name Trichoderma harzianum. RNAcentral's name for it is "partial 28S ribosomal RNA". Lineage: Eukaryota; Fungi; Ascomycota; Sordariomycetes; Hypocreales; Hypocreaceae. The record is from RNAcentral.